GCGGUCGUUGUCUAGUGGUAUGAUCUGGGACUGUGGCUCCCAUGGCCGGAGUUCGAUUCUCCGCGACCGCC
This 71-nucleotide transfer RNA is filed under the name Candidatus Nanoarchaeia archaeon. RNAcentral's name for it is "tRNA-His". It matches the Rfam family "tRNA". Rfam says of the family: Transfer RNA (tRNA) molecules are approximately 80 nucleotides in length. Lineage: Archaea; Nanobdellati; Nanobdellota; Candidatus Nanoarchaeia. The record is from RNAcentral.